GCACUUGAGGGUACUUACCGCUGAUCCAGGAGACAUUUGGUCCAAUUCGUCCAUUAGCUUCAGGCACUUGAGGGUACUUACCGCUGAUCCAGGAGACAUUUGGUCCAAUUCGUCCAUUAGCUUCCAGAUAUUACUUACCAUUUUUCCACAAGGUACAACUUCGUUGGAGUUCAUUUUUGUUAUUUUUUUUAUAAAUA
This is a long non-coding RNA of Lucilia sericata (common green bottle fly), 197 nucleotides long. RefSeq lists it as uncharacterized. NCBI's taxonomy places the organism in Eukaryota, Metazoa, Arthropoda, Insecta, Diptera, Calliphoridae. The transcript has 3 exons. The record is from RefSeq and is a predicted model, not a curated record.